GCAGGGAAUUUUGCGCAAUGGGCGAAAGCCUGACGCAGCAACGCCGCGUGGGGGAUGAAGGCCUUCGGGUUGUAAACCCCUUUCAGGAGGGAAGAAAUUGACGGUACCUCCAGAAGAAGCACCGGCCAACUACGUGCCAGCAGCCGCGGUAAUACGUAGGGUGCGAGCGUUAUCCGGAAUCAUUGGGCGUAAAGAGCUCGUAGGCGGUUCAACAAGUCGGCUGUGAAAUUCCGGGGCUCAACCCCGGAACUGCAGUCGAAACUGUUGUGACUCGAGUCCGGUAGAGGAGAAUGGAAUUCCCGGUGUAGCGGUGGAAUGCGCAGAUAUCGGGAGGAACACCAGUAGCGAAGGCGGUUCUCUGGGCCGGCACUGACGCUGAGGAGCGAAAGCGUGGGGAGCAAACAGGAUUAGAAACCCCAGUAGUCC
This 426-nucleotide ribosomal RNA is filed under the name uncultured bacterium. RNAcentral describes it as "bacterial SSU rRNA". It matches the Rfam family "Bacterial small subunit ribosomal RNA", at positions 354 to 796 of the family's 1533-position model. The record is from RNAcentral.